UAAUUAGGCAGUGGAAAAGUAAAUAAUUAGGAUUGACUUAGUAAGGGCGACUGAAGCGUCAAAAGCUCACCAUGUGAAUCUGCACCUUGUGUGCUGAAUUGUGGUCUGGAGGCUCUAGCAAUCUGAGGUUGGGCCAGGUCUUCUGGAAUGGGGCAGUUAACAGGGUGAAACUCCUGUGUGCCUGACCUUUGGAGCGAGUUUCACAGAGUCGAGUUGUUUGGGAUUGCAGCUCUAAGAGGGUGGUAAAUUCCAUCGAAAGCAAAAUAAUGGUGGARGACCGAUAGCAAACAAGUACCGUGAGGGAAAGAUGCAAAGAACUUUGAAAAGAGAGUUAAAGAGUACCUGAAAUUGCUGAAAAGGAAGCAAAGAAAAUCAGUGCCAGUUCUGUCAUAUUUCCCUGCUUGCUUGCGGUCAGGGUGCUGUGGCAAACUUAGUUUAGGUCAAUUGAUUUGGAUGGUAGGGCAGUUGACGGAAUUAGCGUGAAUUGCCUGAGUCCAAGUUGUUUGACGCUGAUAAAAUGAUUUUCUUUUCCCCGUCUAGAAACACGGACCAAGGAGUCUGUCAUGUGUGCGAGUACAGAGGCGUGUUACUUCUGUGCGCAAUGAAAGUGAUAGUGGCUGGAAUUUAUUGCACAGUCUGCCGGCCACAAUCCCUCGGGAGAAUGGUCUGCGUGUGAGCAUAUAUGGUGGGACCCGAAAGAUGGUGAACUAUGCUUGAGUAGGGUGAAGUCAGGGGAAACUCUGGUGAAGGCUUGAAGUGAUUCUGACGUGCAAAUCGAUCGUCAAACUUGAGUAUAGGGGCGAAAGACUAAUCGAACCAUCUAGUAGCUGGUUCCCUCCGAAAUUUCCCUUAGGAUAGCUGCAAUCUUUGACCAAUUUUGUCAGGUAAAG
Molecule: ribosomal RNA, 890 nt
Filed under: Pinnularia viridiformis
Lineage: Eukaryota; Bacillariophyta; Bacillariophyceae; Sellaphorales; Pinnulariaceae
Description: partial 28S ribosomal RNA
Source: RNAcentral